UCGGAGCUGUGAAAUCACCAAUAAGCCAAAAACCAAUGGAUCUCCAGGUCAUCCAUCCUCAACUGGAUCCAUGUGCUUGUUGCCUUACUGUUCUGGAGGAUAACAUCGAAAAUAAGCCAGCUAUACAGAAACCCCAUAAAGAGAAUCAUGCAGAUUAUUAUCACCCACCAGCUUGUGGCCCCCAUGAGGGGCACACAUAUAUGGAGGAGGAUAUGUUGGUUAGCAAGAGCUUCUCUCUCAGGUUAUUGCCAAGAGCAAUGGUCAACUGCCUGAGUCCUCAGCUCUCCAUACAAGGUGGGAAUUCCAUCAUGGAAGACUUGAUGCUGUGCUGAAACUUAGUCAGACCACACCCCAAACUUCGGGGUCACACUCCAGUGCAGUGCCAAAGCAGAUUACACGUCACUCAAAAAUGUAGCCGCCUCAGAGACGUAGACAGUCCCUUGCUCUUCAAGAGAGCUACUUAUUCCUCCAUAACGAGAGAGACUGGCUGGAGAGUGUCCGAUUUCACAACAACUCCAUCUGCAGCAGGAGGAUACACAGUUUAGUAUAGUAUUAGUUUGGUUUCGGUUUGACUUUUGGGGGGGUUUGUUAGUAUGUUGCUAUUUUGAUUUUGUUACCGUUUUUAAUAUUUUGCUAAGGUUAUUGGCUGUGUGUCUGUGUAUACAGCCCCCUUCAAAGCCCCUUUUGAGAAAAAUGGAUUAUUUGUUAUGAAUAAAAAUAGUGAUUCCC
This 729-nucleotide long non-coding RNA is filed under the name Rattus norvegicus (Norway rat). RNAcentral's name for it is "long non-coding RNA NONRATT010308". The record is from RNAcentral. Lineage: Eukaryota; Metazoa; Chordata; Mammalia; Rodentia; Muridae.